RNAcentral lists this long non-coding RNA (261 nucleotides) under Gallus gallus (chicken). The record is from RNAcentral. Lineage: Eukaryota; Metazoa; Chordata; Aves; Galliformes; Phasianidae.
GGCGAGGUGAGCUGAGGAGGCGGUGAGCGCGGCCGGCGGGAACGCGGCGGGAGGGUCCCUAUGUGUCUCUAUGUGUCCCUAUGGGGUUUUUUAUGGGGUCCUUAUAGGGUCCCUCUGUGCCCCAUAGGCCGCCAUGCUGUCGCUGAAGGUGAAGGUGGAGAAGCCGGAUUUGGAGGCCACAUCGGCCCGGAGCCGUUUGGAUGCGGUGCUGCAGGGACUGCUGGAGCGCAGUGAGGGCGAUAGGUGAGGAUUUGGGGGCUG